GUCGAACGGAGUUGAGAGGAGCUUGCUUUUCUUGACUUAGUGGCGAACCGGUGAGUAACGCGUGAGUAACCUGCCCUGGAGUGGGGGACAACAGUUGGAAACGACUGCUAAUACCGCAUAAGCCCACGGAUUCGCAUGGAUCUGCGGGAAAAGGAUUUAUUCGCUUCAGGAUGGACUCGCGUCCAAUUAGCUAGUUGGUGAGGUAACGGCCCACCAAGGCGACGAUUGGUAGCCGGACUGAGAGGUUGAACGGCCACAUUGGGACUGAGACACGGCCCAGACUCCUACGGGAGGCAGCAGUGGGGGAUAUUGCACAAUGGGGGAAACCUUGAUGCAGCGACGCCGCGUGGAGGAAGAAGGUUUUCGGAUUGUAAACUCCUGUCGUUAGGGACGAUAAUGACGGUACCUAACAAGAAAGCACCGGCUAACUACGUGCCAGCAGCCGCGGUAAAACGUAGGGUGCAAGCGUUGUCCGGAAUUACUGGGUGUAAAGGGAGCGCAGGCGGACCGGCAAGUUGGAAGUGAAAACUAUGGGCUCAACCCAUAAAUUGCUUUCAAAACUGCUGGCCUUGAGUAGUGCAGAGGUAGGUGGAAUUCCCGGUGUAGCGGUGGAAUGCGUAGAUAUCGGGAGGAACACCAGUGGCGAAGGCGGCCUACUGGGCACCAACUGACGCUGAGGCUCGAAAGUGUGGGUAGCAAACA
This 702-nucleotide ribosomal RNA is filed under the name uncultured bacterium. RNAcentral describes it as "bacterial SSU rRNA". It matches the Rfam family "Bacterial small subunit ribosomal RNA", at positions 61 to 774 of the family's 1533-position model. The record is from RNAcentral.